This 28-nucleotide non-coding RNA is filed under the name Rattus norvegicus (Norway rat). Lineage: Eukaryota; Metazoa; Chordata; Mammalia; Rodentia; Muridae. The record is from RNAcentral.
UUCUGGUUUGACUGAUGGGCUUGGAUUC